GAUGAAGAACGUAGCGAAAUGCGAUAAGUAAUGUGAAUUGCAGAAUUCAGUGAAUCAUCGAAUCUUUGAACGCACAUUGCGCCCGCCAGUAUUCUGGCGGGCAUGCCUGUUCGAGCGUCAUUUCAACCAUCAAGCCCCCGGCUUGUGUUGGGGACCUGCGGCUGCCGCAGGCCCUGAAAACCAGUGGCGGGCUCGCUAGUCACUCCGAGCGUAGUAAUACAUCUCGCUCAGGGCGUGCUGCGGGUUCCGGCCGUUAAAAGCCUUAUUUUACCCAAGGUUGACCUCGGAUCAGGUAGGAAGACCCGCUGAACUUAAGCAUAUCAAUAAGCAGAGGA
This 335-nucleotide unclassified non-coding RNA is filed under the name soil metagenome. RNAcentral's name for it is "partial contains 5.8S ribosomal RNA, internal transcribed spacer 2, and large subunit ribosomal RNA". The stretch from base 1 to 120 matches the Rfam family "5.8S ribosomal RNA", at positions 35 to 154 of the family's 154-position model. The record is from RNAcentral.